Capsicum annuum is the source of this 2124-nucleotide long non-coding RNA. RefSeq lists it as uncharacterized. NCBI's taxonomy places the organism in Eukaryota, Viridiplantae, Streptophyta, Magnoliopsida, Solanales, Solanaceae. The transcript is spliced from 5 exons. The record is from RefSeq and is a predicted model, not a curated record.
UUAUUUAUACUUUUGUUAAAUUAAAAAAAGUUAUUUACAAAGAUCAAGCCCAAAAGUGGCUUGGCCCAACAAACAAUCCCUAAUAAUAACCAUUUGGCAAAGUUGUCUCUUCCACUUCAACAAGCAGACCAGAUUAGCUCAAGUAAGGAUGAUCGAUUCCUUUCUCAGUCGUUCGUGUAUCAUGUAGCUCUUCGUCUAUUGCGACUUGAUUUUUUUGCUUUCUAAGCUAAGUAUCAAUCCCUUCUUUAUUCUUUCUCAAAUCAGUGGGUUGAGCUUCUAUCACAGCUAACACCACCACCUACUCGGAGAAGAAAUCAAUGAGAGUGAUGAACUUAUUUUAUAUCUUUGAAUCUGUGCUAUAGUGAUAUACCAACACAAAAUUGGAGCUUUCAAUUUUGAUUAGGCUGUACCAGUAUCUGAAUAUUCAAUCAUUCAACACCUCAAGCUCUCACCAGGUGUAGAUCUUUGUAUUCACGAAUUUUAUUUUCAAUAAAGAUUGAGCAUACAGAUUAAAGGGAGUAGUAUUUAGCACCGAGCGGAAAGUGUGGGUUUAGCGCAUCCUACUUCCCCAGAACUCCGAGUCAACGUAGGUACCAGUUCAGUUGUAGUCCAUAUAUCAUGAUCAGACAGUUCAAAUUUCAGCUAGCAGAUGAUGAGUCCUCCUACUUCGGGGAUUUCAGUUAGAUGUUAUUUAUGUACUUUACUUUCUUACUCAUAUGUAUUGAUUAGUAGUAGUUGGAGUCGCAUCCCAGCUAUCUAUAGUGACGCCAGUCAGAGUCAGUCAUGUAAUUUUAGUUCUGCUCUCCAGUUUCAUCAGAAUAUAAAAUUGUAUCAGCAUUGUUUCUUUUUUAGAUUUCAUGAUUAUAUUUCCGCACAGUAACUUCAGUCAUUUUAUACAUAUGUAAAUCAGUUGCUUAGCAGUAUGCAAGUACAAGGGUUAGCUUGGGAUCACUUGUGUUCCUAACACCGUGUGACGUCUCGGGAUCCAUUUUCGAGGCGUUACAACUGUAGUCUACCUUUCUAUGCUUGAAUUUUAUUUCUCACUUUCUCCAUCAAAUCUUUAAAGUGUUCUUUCUUCUUCUUUAAGUGUUAGAUUGAACAACCAAGGUAUUUGAGAUAAAAUGAAUCCUUAGCCAUUCCCGUGGUUUGUUUCACUCUCCUAAAAAUAUUCUGAUUUAUGUAGCCUUUUAUCCAGAUUUUUGUUCAUAAUCCUAUAAAAUCAACAUAAUCUUUCAAGGGAAUAUGCAUUAGAAGAAGUAAAGAUAAUAGUGCCAUCAGCGUAUGCCAAGUGAUUGAGAUUUGGGAUUAACUUAUGAAUACCAUAUCCCAUAAAGAAAUCACCCUAAAAAAUAUAAUUGAGAGCCCUUGUCAUAACGUCAAUAGAUAAGAUAAAGCGAGUAGGAUACAUGGGAUCUCCUUAUUUUUUUAAUUAAUAGUGGACUCAAGGUUUGUUUUAUCAAAAGGGUCCGGUCAGCCCAAAUAGAACAUUUCAAUAACAAAUAUCAAACAAAAAGCCCAAACCCGAUCCAAUGACCUAAUUUGGGUCUAUAAAAGGCACCCUAAUAUUAAGGUUUCCUAAUUGAUCCUCUUGUUCUUUAUCCAUACGUCCUUUCUGUCGUUGAGGAUGUUUGUGUUAGUCCUUUGUAAUCGUCAUCUCCGUUUGCUCUUGUUGUGGGUGGUGAAUUACCUUCAUCAUCUUGUGUGCAUCUUCUUCCUGCUCAGCUUGAAGAAGUGUGAAAUUCGGUGGAGGUCCAUGAGUUUAGUUGAAACUCGAUAGAGAGUGUGAACACUGUAUAUAAGUUCCAUAGAUCCGUAAGUGGAGAAAAACAAGUUGCUUCCAAUCUCCGUCUUUCGAAACUCCUAGCUGAAUACAAGCAUUGUAUUGCAGAUCUUGUUCCUUUGCUCUAACUUUUUGCUGGUCAUCAAUUUUGUUGGCUGAUGUAGCUUAGGUUAGUUAGCUUUCUCACAGUUAUUUUGCCCUUAUGGCCAUAAACUAUUCUAUAAAUGUAAUAAUUGUGAAACUCUGUGGUCCUUCUUUUCUUGCCUUUCAUUAUUGAUUAUGUGUGACUGAUAUUUUCUUUGUUCUAACCCUUAUAUAAGGAAUCAUCAUGUUGUCUAUGUUUA